UGAUACCAGACACUCUAUCUUGCGUGGGAACUGUUCGCUUUCAUGAUCUUCAGAAAAGCAGGUAUAGUUGUACUGAAAAUCUUCCCUGGACAGAUGUGGAAAAUACAAUGGUAGUGUGCAGAGGUCACCAUUCUUUGUGACAUUUUUUGUUUCCCUUGGCCUAGGACAAUGAGGACAGUCUGAGAGUUUGACCCAGUGUCCAUGGACAAAUCCAGAGGAGCAGUUGUAGGUGCAGUUCAACACUAAAGGCUCUCCAACUGCUGCAUGGAUGACUUCAUGCUGUUUCUGCAGGGAGCUACUGCCCAUGGAAAAGGACCUCCCAGCCUUUGACCUGUCUUGCCAAACAGUGCAAGAGCUGCAAUGGGACCUUUCUAUGUGGAGGUACUGUGGUACCUCGCUGGAGUAGGACAGGGGCAGAGCUAACUCAGCCGUCAAGACAGCUUGUCCCCCCAUGCCCUCCUGGGACACACAGGGACAGUGAGGAGGGAGCAGCCUGCAUGUUUUGUCCUUUAGGUCAUUACUGUGUUGGAGGUGUUGCUUUGCCGUGCCCAGCAGGAACCUACGGACCCAAAGAGGCUUUCAUGGGGUGAGGGACUGCCCCCCCUGUCCAGCAGGUAAUCAGACCAUCCUCAGGUCAUCUCCACAGUGGGGAUUCAGUAAAGUUACAAUACCAACAUAAAUAUAUAGUCGAUUAUUAUAAAAGUUGAAUCAGAGGCUGACAUAAAAAACAAAAUACACAUGUAAAACAUACAUGUAAGUUUCCUGCUUCUUGUUCUGCAGCGUUUGUGGUUUAUUUUAUCUUUUGUGAUGUUAUGUGUGCUAUGCUAUGUUUUGUCAUGUCAUCUUAUGUUAUCUCUAUUGUCUGGAAGGGAUGAGUAAUUGUGACACUUACAAUAAUACUCUUCAACAGGGUUUUACUGUUUGGAAGACAGCUCACGGAGACCGGGCUCCCAAUUCAUGUGCCCACAAGGGUAUUACUGUGAGGAGGGCACAGAAAUGCCCCACGGGUCACCUUGCCCCGCUGGCACUGCAGGAGAACAACUGGGCCAGACAAGUAGGACAGCCUGAGAUGUUCAGAGGGACGAUUGUGUCCUGCAGACAGGGAGCUGCCCUAAUGGAAAUUACUGCCCUCUGGGUACUGCAUAUCCUUACACGUCCCAAUGCCAGUCUGGCUUCUACAGGAACAUGGGGAUGUGUGUACCAUGUCUGGCCAGGUACUACUGUGCCAGUCCAGGAACAUCCACACCCACUGUCUGCCCACAGACCGACUGAUGGGCCAAUUGGAGGCUUGUGUCCAGCAGGAAGUUACUGCCCUCCUGGCUCUCCCCAUGCCUCCGACAAUUUUAGCAUUCAGCACUGGCCUCCGCACCUCCCAGCAGCGUGUUGACUGCCCAGCUGUUUAAGAACUCAUAGUUAGGGCCUGGAGUCCCAGUCAGAUCACAUGGUCAGAAAAACUAGCCCCAUCUAUUAUCGAGAUCCGAUUCAGCUAUACUUUUUUUAUGUUUUCAAUUUAUAGAAAAGCACCCACUCUCUGUGUCAUCAUCAUCAAAGUGUUUCUUUGUUUUAGGUCCUAUUGUUUAGGUUCAAAUAAUACUUCUCCAAUUGGCCUGUGAUCUGCUGGUUUCUACUGUACUCUGUAUCACCUGCUCAGAAUGAGGCUGAGGAGGGUCAGUAUGCCCUGAUCCCUGUCCCAUUGGCACCGGUACAGUACAUGUAGUGCACGAUGUAGGGGAGGGAUCAGAGCAGGUAGCCUAGCGGUUAAGAGUGUUGAGCCAGUAAUUGAAAGGUCACUGGUUCAAAUCCCUGAGUCAACUAGGCAAAAAAUCUGUAGAUGUGCCAUUGAGCAAGGCACUUAACCCUAAUUGCUCAUGUAAGUCGCUCUGGAUAAGAGUGUUUACUAAAUAACUCAAAUGUAAAAUAUAAACAUAAUUACACAUAAGAUGUUGACUGCAAAUUGACUGCACAAAGCCCAAACAGAUAUGUUUGACUGAAACAUAAUCAUGUCCAACCUUGCUUACAUUUGUAUACAAUGCGUGGGAGUACUUGAACAGAUUAUUUUCUAAUUAAAAUCACUUGUUGCUGAUUUCCUGAUGUUUUUAGUCUAUUAUGUCCAACAAUAAAAUAUGUAUAAAUAAAAAGUUAAUAUAUACAGUACCAGUCAAAAGUUGACACCUACUCAUUCCAGGGUUUUUCUUUAUUUGUACUAUUUUCUACAUUGUAGAAUAACAGUGAAGACAUCAAAACUAUGAAAUAUGUGGAAUCAUGUAGAAACCAAAAAAGUGUUAAAGAAUCACAUCAGUGACUCAACCCACUCAAGUCGAGUAUAGCAAAAGCCUGGCACGCCGUGACGCGC
Long non-coding RNA from Oncorhynchus kisutch (coho salmon), 2353 nucleotides. The record is from Ensembl. NCBI's taxonomy places the organism in Eukaryota, Metazoa, Chordata, Actinopteri, Salmoniformes, Salmonidae.